UCCCCUGCCCACUUGCUCCCAGGAGCUUUCGGGUCUCAGUUCCCCCAGUUAGCAGCUGCUGCAUCAGGGCGAGGGCGGACAGGGGGAUACGGCCCUGUGGUCGCCCCCCCGAGUGCUAGGAAAGAGCAGGGAGCAGACAGGGCUGUAUGUGCCACCCCUCCCAUGGGGGAGCUGGUAGACUUAUUUCUGUGCCAUUUCCAUAAUGCUAGUGCCAGAGCCCCUCCCUGCAGCCUGCUGGAAGGGUCCCGUUGCCACGCGGCCCCCCGGGUCAGAUCCUGCGCCACACAGCGUCUCUGUGAGGGCUGUUGUGGGGGGAGGUUGGGAGAGGCUGAGCUCCCAGCCCUGGGGCAGCGGGAUGCUGAGGGUGACCUUCCUGGCCUCUGGUGCCAGCCGCCGCAUGGGCCCAGAUGUCCAGAUGUGCCUGCAGCGCGGAGGGAGAACAUGCGUGGGAAGCACGUGACCGUGAGAAGACCGGCAGGCAGGCCCCUCUCCCAGACUGAGGACACACAUGUGCACACACCACGCACACCAGGCACGUCACAGCUGUCCACCCACCCUCGACCCCUUUCUGAGCCAGUUCCCCUGCCACAACGCUGGGCAACCCUGUGGCCAGCCCGUCUGGGGCGCCGGCAGCCCUGGCUGCACCUUCAUCCCUUCGAGCAUCCCCAGGGCCUCCCUGCAGACCUGCUCCCGGGGCAUUUUCAUGCUGUACAUCCAUGUAAGGUCACUAAGAUGUCACAUUGGACCAGUCUGGGUGAUUUCCAUAUAGAUAGAAAAAUAGGAAAAAAAAAAAAAAAGAAUAACCCACUCUCUAAUCAAUCCAAUAUAAGACUCCUGUUUGCUUCCUGUAUGGUUAUAUCAUGUGUGACAUUUACUCCUGUCUCUGCUGACACUCUCUCUUUGACUUCCAUGUUUCGGUUGGUUUGGCAUCCGCUCAUUCCUGUGCUGUAAUGUUUUUAUUUCCUCGUUAGGUGUUAGAAUUGCACUUAUUUUUGUAAAGGGUUUCUGCCUUGGAAGCGUUCAAUGCCAAGUGGGAAGAACGGCAAGGAAACCUGCGGAGGGUUGAGUCCUCCGAGUCUGCCCGUUCUCCGGUGUUCGUGUUGCGCCCUCCCCUCCCCUCCCCUCCCCUGAGCACGCGAGUCCUCAGCCGCUGGGACUCGGAGAUGGGAUACGCCGGACGCUGGCUGGGCCCCACGGGCGGUCGUCUGCACGCGCCACGCACAGAGCACCGGCCCAGAUCCGUGCGACAGGACCCCGUGUCUCGAUUCUGCCCAGGGGCCUCGGCACCGCUGCCGCCUCCUGCCCCGCACCAUGCAAGCAACUCAAAAUACUUAAAAAAAAAAAGUUUACAGGAUAGUUAUUUUCAGAUCUUUGCUUGAUCAGUAUUAAGAUAAGAAAAGUAUCUAACUUGCCGCCAUAAUUUAAAGCUUGGGGGGGUGGGGGUUGGUUUAUUGUGUUGGGGGGGGGGGUUGAGCAAUAUGUUUUUGCUGGACUCUGAAGUCUGAGACCUUCUUGUGCUGGAAACACAUGAAAGUUGUUGAAUAAUGACAAGCAGACUGUGCAUGUCUCUGAUGCUUUGUAUAAUUCAUACGUGGACAUUCGGUCUUUGGACAAUAAACAGUAUUAUCAAAUAACA
Molecule: long non-coding RNA, 1636 nt
Organism: Crocodylus porosus (Australian saltwater crocodile)
Lineage: Eukaryota; Metazoa; Chordata; Crocodylia; Crocodylidae
Source: Ensembl